RNAcentral lists this transfer-messenger RNA (355 nucleotides) under Planctomycetota. RNAcentral's name for it is "JADJNY01 sp016220035 Standard tmRNA". It matches the Rfam family "transfer-messenger RNA". From Rfam's summary of the family: Bacterial tmRNA, also known as 10Sa RNA or SsrA, is named for its dual tRNA and mRNA-like properties. Its role is to liberate the mRNA from a stalled ribosome. The record is from RNAcentral. RNAcentral also lists the same sequence under 1 other name. Lineage: Bacteria; Pseudomonadati.
GGGGGCGCACCGGUUUCGACCGGUUUCGUUCAGCGGCGGGUGGCGUGUCGGGGAUCUCGAGUCACCCCGUAAAAUCCUCUUGGGGCGGCAUUGCAUGCCAACAACUAUUCUCUCGCGGCCUGAUUCAUCAGUCCGCCGUUUCCGGUCGGAGUGCCCGCGGCCGGCCGGGAACGUACACAGCGGGCUGGCCGGCGAGUCGCGCCUCGGGGCGGACCGGCGAGAACCUUCCGAGACUGGUACGUGAAGAGCCUGCUCCUGGGCGCGACACGGAUGACGACAAACCAGGAGACACACACGUAGAAGCUCGUCGACGGGGCAUUCCGGGACGCGGGUUCGAUUCCCGCCGCCUCCACCA